GUGCCAGCCGCCGCGGUAAUACGUAGGUGACAAGCGUUGUCCGGAAUUAUUGGGCGUAAAGGGAGCGCAGGCGGUUGGAAUAGUCUGAUGUGAAAGCCCACGGCUUAACCGUGGAAGGUCAUUGGAAACUGUCCAACUUGAAUGCAGAAGAGGUAAGUGGAAUUCCAUGUGUAGCAGUGAAAUGCGUAGAUAUAUGGAGGAACACCAGUGGCGAAGGCGACUUACUGGUCUGUAAUUGACGCUGAGGCUCGAAAGCGUGGGUAGCAAACAGGAUUAGAUACCCCUGUAGUCC
This 292-nucleotide ribosomal RNA is filed under the name uncultured prokaryote. RNAcentral describes it as "partial 16S ribosomal RNA". It matches the Rfam family "Bacterial small subunit ribosomal RNA", at positions 505 to 796 of the family's 1533-position model. The record is from RNAcentral.